Molecule: ribosomal RNA, 467 nt
Filed under: uncultured bacterium
Lineage: Bacteria
Description: bacterial SSU rRNA
Rfam family: Bacterial small subunit ribosomal RNA
Source: RNAcentral
AGCGAACGUUAGCGGCGGGCCUAACACAUGCAAGUCGAACGCGAAAGGUCUUCGGACUGAGUAGAGUGGCGCACGGGUGAGUAACACGUAGGUAAUCUACCCUUUGGCGGGGGAUAACGUUCCGAAAGGAGCGCUAAUACCGCAUAAGACCACGGAGUCUCCGGACGCUGUGGGAAAAGGUGGCCUCUUCUUGAAAGCUACCACCGAAGGAUGAGCCUGCGUCCCAUCAGCUAGUUGGUAAGGUAAUGGCUUACCAAGGCGAAGACGGGUAGCUGGUUUGAGAGAAUGAUCGGCCACACUGGCACUGGAACACGGGCCAGACUCCUACGGGAGGCAGCAGUGAGGAAUCUUGCGCAAUGGGCGAAAGCCUGACGCAGCGACGCCGCGUGAGUGAUGAAGGCCUCGGUUGUAAGCUCUGUGGAGGAGACGAAUAAGUACGUAGCGAACAGCUCCGAUGAUGACGGUAU